This 497-nucleotide ribosomal RNA is filed under the name uncultured bacterium. Its description in RNAcentral is "partial 16S ribosomal RNA". It matches the Rfam family "Bacterial small subunit ribosomal RNA", at positions 28 to 507 of the family's 1533-position model. The record is from RNAcentral.
GAUGAACGCUGGCGGCGUGCCUAAUACAUGCAAGUCGAGCGAACAGACGAGGAGCUUGCUCCUCUGACGUUAGCGGCGGACGGGUGAGUAACACGUGUAUAACCUACCUAUAAGACGGGGAUAAUUUCGGGAAACCGGAGCUAAUACCGGAUAAUAUAUUGAACCGCAUGGUUCAAUAGUGAAUGACGGUUUUUCUGUCUCUUAUAGAUGGAUCCGCGCCGCAUUAGCUAGUUGGUAAGGUAACGGCUUACCAAGGCGACGAUGCGUAGCCGACCUGAGAGGCUGAUCGGCCACCCUAGAACUGAGACACCGACAAGACUACUAAGAGAGGCAGCAGUAGGGAAUCUUCCGCAAUGGGCGAAAGCCUGACGGAGCGACGCCGCGUGAGUGAUGAAGGUCUUCGGAUCGUAAAACUCUGUUAUUAGGGAAGAACAAAUGUGUAAGUAACUAUGCACGUCUUGACGGUACCUAAUCAGAAAGCCACGGCUAACUACGUG